RNAcentral lists this ribosomal RNA (253 nucleotides) under uncultured prokaryote. RNAcentral describes it as "partial 16S ribosomal RNA". It matches the Rfam family "Bacterial small subunit ribosomal RNA", at positions 525 to 777 of the family's 1533-position model. The record is from RNAcentral.
ACGGGGGGGGCAAGCGUUGUUCGGAAUUACUGGGCGUAAAGGGCUCGUAGGCGGCCAACUAAGUCGGAUGUGAAAUCCCCAGGCUCAACCUGGGAACUGCAUCCGAUACUGGAUGGCUUGAAUUCGGGAGAGGGAUGCAGAAUUCCAGGUGUAGCGGUGAAAUGCGUAGAUAUCUGGAGGAAUACCGGUGGCGAAGGCGGCAUCCUGGACCGGAUCUGACGCUGAUGCGCGAAAGCGUGGGGAGCAAACAGGA